This 371-nucleotide ribosomal RNA is filed under the name uncultured bacterium. RNAcentral describes it as "bacterial SSU rRNA". It matches the Rfam family "Bacterial small subunit ribosomal RNA", at positions 489 to 868 of the family's 1533-position model. The record is from RNAcentral.
AGCACUGUAGGUGCCAGCAGCCGCGGUAAUACGUAGGGUGCAAGCGUUAAUCGGAAUUACUGGGCGUAAAGCGUGCGCAGGCGGUUAUGCAAGACAGAUGUGAAAUCCCCGGGCUCAACCUGGGAACUGCAUUUGUGACUGCAUAGCUAGAGUACGGUAGAGGGGGAUGGAAUUCCGCGUGUAGCAGUGAAAUGCGUAGAUAUGCGGAGGAACACCGAUGGCGAAGGCAAUCCCCUGGACCUGUACUGACGCUCAUGCACGAAAGCGUGGGGAGCAAACAGGAUUAGAUACCCUGGUAGUCCACGCCCUAAACGAUGUCAACUGGUUGUUGGGAGGUUUCUCUCAGUAACGUAGCUAACGCGUGAAGUUGA